Molecule: ribosomal RNA, 265 nt
Filed under: uncultured archaeon
Lineage: Archaea
Description: partial 16S ribosomal RNA
Rfam family: Archaeal small subunit ribosomal RNA
Source: RNAcentral
AGUCACUGACAUUAGAUACCCCUGUAGUCCCAGCCGUAAACAAUGUGCGUUAGGUGUGUCGGUAACCACGCGUUACUGAUGCGCCGAAGAGAAAUCGUGAAACGCACCACCUGGGAAGUACGGUCGCAAGGCUGAAACUUAAAGGAAUUGGCGGGGGAGCACCACAACAGGUGGAGCCUGCGGUUUAAUUGGAUUCAACGCCGGACAUCUCAUCGGAUAAGACAGCUGAAUGAUUGUCAAUCUGAAGGUUUUACAUGACUAGCUG